AACAUUCAUCACCGAUUAAACUAAAUUAGGCUUGACUCUCUCUUGUUUGGAGCAUAGUCUCCCCAGCAGAGUCGCCAGCUGUCGCAUCUCGAAAAAUACGACCCUUCAUGAAGGCGUUCACACGCUUGCAAAAAAAAUUAUUCGAAUAGAGUCGCCACCGAAAUUUAUUUAUUCCAAAGAAGGAAAGGGAAAAUAUCAAUAAAACUCAUUAAAAGAAAAAGAAGAUGGUCAUCAUAACCAACUUUUUUGAGAGUUGAUUAC
This 261-nucleotide long non-coding RNA is filed under the name Lathyrus oleraceus (garden pea). Its description in RNAcentral is "Pisum sativum (pea) long non-coding RNA (PSAT_LNC012871)". Lineage: Eukaryota; Viridiplantae; Streptophyta; Magnoliopsida; Fabales; Fabaceae. The record is from RNAcentral.